AUGGAUAGAGAAGAUGAGAUGGAGAUGGAGAUGGGAGCAGAGGCAGUAGCGCAGGUGAUGGCGCCGCCGUCUCGGUUCAGGAGGGUAUGCGUCUUCUGCGGGAGCAGCAAGGGCAACAAGAUGAGCUACCAGGAUGCCGCCGUUGAGCUUGGCCAGGAGCUGGUAGCAAGGAACAUUGAUCUGGUGUACGGAGGAGGAAGCGUGGGGCUCAUGGGCCUGGUCUCUCAAGCGGUCUACAGCGGAGGAAGGCAUGUCAUCGGGGUGAUUCCCAAGACUCUCAUGCCUAGAGAGAUAACAGGUGAGACGGUGGGGGAGGUGAAGGAGGUGGCGGGUAUGCACCAAAGGAAGGCUGAGAUGGCCAGGCAAUCUGAUGCCUUUAUAGCGCUCCCUGGGGGCUAUGGAACACUUGAGGAGCUCCUGGAAGUAAUCACAUGGGCCCAGCUUGGCAUCCACGACAAGCCGGUCGGGCUGCUGAACGUGGACGGCUACUACAACGCCCUGCUGUGUUUCAUCGACAAUGCCGUGGAUGAAGGAUUCAUCAAGCCCACUGCGCGCCACAUCAUCGUGCUGGCUCCCACGCCCAAGGAACUGCUCGACAAGCUGGAGGAGUACUCUCCUCGGCACGAAGAGGUCGUGCCCAGGACGAAGUGGGAGACGACGGAGCAGCUGAGCUGCUGCAAGAUCCCUGCGCUGAAAGAGGGCACGGUGAUCGUCCCGGCGCAGCGAGGAAGCAUGCUGUGA
RNAcentral lists this ribosomal RNA (741 nucleotides) under Triticum aestivum (bread wheat). RNAcentral's name for it is "partial small subunit ribosomal RNA". Lineage: Eukaryota; Viridiplantae; Streptophyta; Magnoliopsida; Poales; Poaceae. The record is from RNAcentral.